GAUGAACGCUGGCGGCGUGCCUAAUACAUGCAAGUCGAGCGAACAGACGAGGAGCUUGCUCCUCUGACGUUAGCGGCGGACGGGUGAGUAACACGUGGAUAACCUACCUAUAAGACUGGGAUAACUUCGGGAAACCGGAGCUAAUACCGGAUAAUAUAUUGAACCGCAUGGUUCAAUAGUGAAAGACGGUUUUGCUGUCACUUAUAGAUGGUUCCGCGCCGCAUUAGCUAGUUGGUAAGGUAACGGCUUACCACGGCAACGAUGCGUAGCCGACCUGAGCGGGUGAUCGGCCACACUGGAACUGAGACACGGUCCAGACUCCUACGGGAGGCAGCAGUAGGGAAUCUUCCGCAAUGGGCGAAAGCCUGACGGAGCAACGCCGCGUGAGUGAUGAAGGUCUUCGGAUCGUAAAACUCUGUUAUUAGGGAAGAACAAAUGUGUAAGUAACUAUGCACGUCUUGACGGUACCUAAUCAGAAAGCCACGGCUAACUACGUG
RNAcentral lists this ribosomal RNA (497 nucleotides) under uncultured bacterium. Its description in RNAcentral is "partial 16S ribosomal RNA". It matches the Rfam family "Bacterial small subunit ribosomal RNA", at positions 28 to 507 of the family's 1533-position model. The record is from RNAcentral.